RNAcentral lists this ribosomal RNA (468 nucleotides) under uncultured bacterium. RNAcentral describes it as "partial 16S ribosomal RNA". The stretch from base 52 to 468 matches the Rfam family "Bacterial small subunit ribosomal RNA", at positions 39 to 507 of the family's 1533-position model. The record is from RNAcentral.
GGGGGGGGGGGGGGGGGGGGGGGGGGGGUGGGGGGGGGGGGGGGGGGGCGGGCGGUGGGGGGGGGCGGGGGGGGCGAGGGGGGGAGUGACCCGGGAGUGGCCUGCCCGUGACUUUGGGAUGACUUCAGGCAGCUGGGGCGCCGACCGGCUAGCAGCUCCGGCUGCAUGGUGGGGGGUGGAAAGGUGCGGCGGUUGGUGAUGGUCUCGCGGCUGAUCAGCUUGUUGGUGGGGUAGUGGCGUCCCAAGGCUUUGACGGGUAGCCGGGCUGAGAGGGGGACCGGCAACAAUGGGACUGAGCAACGGCACAGACUCCUACGGGAGGCAGAAGUGGGGAAUAUUGCACAAUGGGCGGAAGCCUGAUGCAGCAACGCCGCGUGCGGGAUGACGGCCUUCGGGUUGUAAACCGCUUUCGCCUGUGACGAAGCGUGAGUGACGGUAAUGGGUAGAGAAGCACCGGCUAACUACGUG